This 1784-nucleotide ribosomal RNA is filed under the name marine metagenome. Its description in RNAcentral is "bacterial LSU rRNA". It matches the Rfam family "Bacterial large subunit ribosomal RNA", at positions 1072 to 2925 of the family's 2925-position model. The record is from RNAcentral.
CAGGUGGGACGACCAAAACAACCAGGAGGUUGGCUUAGAAGCAGCCAUCCUUUAAAGAUAGCGUAACAGCUCACUGGUCUAAACAAGUUGUCCUGCGGCGAAGAUGUAACGGGGCUCAAGCCACGAGCCGAAGCUUAGGACGCGUGAGCGUGGUAGCAGAGCGUAGUGUGAUAUAGCUCCAUGUCUCUUUAGUCGUUGGUGCGUGCAAGCGCGCACCCUACGGCCUUGGAGACAAGGAGCUUUCUGUGAAGCCGGGGCGUGAGCCAUCCGGUGGAGAGAUCACUAGCGAGAAUGAUGACAUGAGUAGCGACAAAGAGUGUGAGAGACACUCUCGCCGGAAGUCCAAGGGUUCCUGCUUAAAGCUAAUCUGAGCAGGGUAAGCCGGCCCCUAAGCCGAGGCCGAAAGGCGUAGGCGAUGGGAACCAGGUUAAUAUUCCUGGGCCAGGAGGAUGUGACGGAUUGUGGCGGCGUGCGUGCCUUAUCGGAUUGGCGCGUAUCCAAGACAGUCCCUGGAAAUAGCCCUCCAUCGGACCGUACCCUAAACCGACACAGGUGGACUGGUAGAGCAUACCAAGGCGCUUGAGAGAACGAUGUUGAAGGAACUCGGCAAAAUACCUCCGUAAGUUCGCGAGAAGGAGGCCCGGGCCAUGAGGUCCGGGGGCACAAACCAGGGGGUGGCGACUGUUUACUAAAAACACAGGGCUCUGCGAAGUCGCAAGACGACGUAUAGGGUCUGACGCUGCCCGGUGCCGGAAGGUUAAAAGGAGGUGUGCAAGCACCGAAUUGAAGCCCCGGUAAACGGCGGCCGUAACUAUAACGGUCCUAAGGUAGCGAAAUUCCUUGUCGGGUAAGUUCCGACCUGCACGAAUGGCGUAACGACUUCCCCGCUGUCUCCAACAUCGACUCAGCGAAAUUGAAUUGCCUGUCAAGAUGCAGGCUUCCCGCGGUUAGACGGAAAGACCCCGUGCACCUUUACUACAGCUUCGCACUGGCAUCAGGCUGGGCAUGUGCAGGAUAGGUGGUAGGCUUUGAACCCGUGACGCCAGUCGCGGUGGAGCCUCCCUUGAGAUACCACCCUUGCGCUGCUUGAUGUCUAACCGCGGUCCGUUAUCCGGAUUCGGGACCCUGCGUGGCGGGUAGUUUGACUGGGGCGGUCGCCUCCCAAAGAGUAACGGAGGCGCGCGAAGGUUGGCUCAGAGCGGUCGGAAAUCGCUCGUUGAGUGCAAUGGCAGAAGCCAGCCUGACUGCGAGACUGACAGGUCGAGCAGAGUCGAAAGACGGCCAUAGUGAUCCGGUGGUCCCGAGUGGAAGGGCCAUCGCUCAACGGAUAAAAGGUACGCCGGGGAUAACAGGCUGAUACUGCCCAAGAGUCCAUAUCGACGGCAGUGUUUGGCACCUCGAUGUCGGCUCAUCUCAUCCUGGGGCUGGAGCAGGUCCCAAGGGUACGGCUGUUCGCCGUUUAAAGAGGUACGUGAGCUGGGUUUAGAACGUCGUGAGACAGUUCGGUCCCUAUCUGCCGUGGGUGUAGGAUACUUGAGAGGAGUUGCCCCUAGUACGAGAGGACCGGGGUGAACGAUCCACUGGUGGACCUGUUGUUGCGCCAGCAGCAGUGCAGGGUAGCUAUGAUCGGACAGGAUAACCGCUGAAGGCAUCUAAGCGGGAAGCCCCCCUCAAAACAAGGUAUCCCCGAGGGCCGUGGUAGACCACCACGUCGAUAGGCCGGAGAUGUAAGUGCAGCAAUGCAUUCAGUUGACCGGUACUAAUGGCCCGAUAGGCUUGGUUUG